RNAcentral lists this ribosomal RNA (601 nucleotides) under Paenibacillus tundrae. RNAcentral describes it as "bacterial SSU rRNA". It matches the Rfam family "Bacterial small subunit ribosomal RNA", at positions 61 to 642 of the family's 1533-position model. Lineage: Bacteria; Bacillati; Bacillota; Bacilli; Caryophanales; Paenibacillaceae. The record is from RNAcentral.
GUCGAGCGGACUUGAAGAGAAGCUUGCUUCUCCGAUGGUUAGCGGCGGACGGGUGAGUAACACGUAGGCAACCUGCCCUCAAGCUUGGGACAACUACCGGAAACGGUAGCUAAUACCGAAUAGUUGUUUUCUUCUCCUGAAGAAAACUGGAAAGACGGAGCAAUCUGUCACUUGGGGAUGGGCCUGCGGCGCAUUAGCUAGUUGGUGGGGUAACGGCUCACCAAGGCGACGAUGCGUAGCCGACCUGAGAGGGUGAUCGGCCACACUGGGACUGAGACACGGCCCAGACUCCUACGGGAGGCAGCAGUAGGGAAUCUUCCGCAAUGGGCGAAAGCCUGACGGAGCAAUGCCGCGUGAGUGAUGAAGGUUUUCGGAUCGUAAAGCUCUGUUGCCAGGGAAGAACGCUUGGGAGAGUAACUGCUCUCAAGGUGACGGUACCUGAGAAGAAAGCCCCGGCUAACUACGUGCCAGCAGCCGCGGUAAUACGUAGGGGGCAAGCGUUGUCCGGAAUUAUUGGGCGUAAAGCGCGCGCAGGCGGUCAUUUAAGUCUGGUGUUUAAUCCCGGGGCUCAACCCCGGAUCGCACUGGAAACUGGGUGACU